CGCGGCCUAUCAGCUUGUUGGUGGGGUAACGGCCUACCAAGGCAUCGACGGGUAGCUGGUCUGAGAGGAUGAUCAGCCACACUGGGACUGAGACACGGCCCAGACUCCUACGGGAGGCAGCAGUGGGGAAUCUUGCACAAUGGGCGAAAGCCUGAUGCAGCAACGCCGCGUGCGGGAAGAAGGCCCUCGGGUUGUAAACCGCUUUCAGAAGGAACGAAACUGACGGUACUUUCAGAAGAAGGUGCGGCCAACUACGUGCCAGCAGCCGCGGUGACACGUAGGCACCAAGCGUUGUCCGGAUUUAUUGGGCGUAAAGAGCUCGUAGGCGGUUCAGUAAGUCGGGUGUGAAAACUUUGGGCUUAACCCAAAGCGUGCAUCCGAUACUGCUGUGACUUGAGUACGGUAGGGGAGCGGGGAAUUCCUAGUGUAGCGGUGAAAUGCGCAGAUAUUAGGAGGAACACCGGUGGCGAAGGCGCCGCUCUGGGCCGAAACUGACGCUGAGGAGCGAAAGCAUGGGGAGCGAACAGGAUUAGAUACCCUGGUAGUCCACGCCGUAAACGGUGGGUACUAGGUGUGGGUUUCCUUCCUUGGGAUCCGUGCCGUAGCUAACGCAUUAA
Molecule: ribosomal RNA, 617 nt
Filed under: uncultured bacterium
Lineage: Bacteria
Description: bacterial SSU rRNA
Rfam family: Bacterial small subunit ribosomal RNA
Source: RNAcentral